RNAcentral lists this ribosomal RNA (471 nucleotides) under uncultured bacterium. RNAcentral describes it as "partial 16S ribosomal RNA". It matches the Rfam family "Bacterial small subunit ribosomal RNA", at positions 28 to 507 of the family's 1533-position model. The record is from RNAcentral.
GACGAACGCUGGCGGCGUGCUUAACACAUGCAAGUCGAACGAUGAAGCGGUGCUUGCACCGUGGAUUAGUGGCGAACGGGUGAGUAAUACGUGAGUGACCUACCUUUGACUCUGGGAUAAGCCUGGGAAACUGGGUCUAAUACCGGAUACGACCAAUCUCUGCAUGGGGUGUUGGUGGAAAGCGUUAUGGAGUGGCUUUAGAUGGGCUCACGGCCUAUCAGCUUGUUGGUGAGGUAAUGGCUUACCAAGGCGACGACGGGUAGCCGGCCUGAGAGGGUGACCGGCCACACUGGGACUGAGACACGGCCCAGACUCCUACGGGAGGCAGCAGUGGGGAAUAUUGCACAAUGGGCGCAAGCCUGAUGCAGCGACGCCGCGUGAGGGAUGACGGCCUUCGGGUUGUAAACCUCUGUUAGCAUCGAAGAAGCGAAAGUGACGGUAGGUGCAGAGAAAGCGCCGGCUAACUACGUG